UACGUAGGGUGCGAGCGUUAUCCGGAAUUACUGGGCGUAAAGCGUGUGUAGGUGGUUUGUUAAGUUAAAUGUUAAAUCUACGGGCUCAACUCGUGGGCUGCAUUUAAUACUGGCAUAACUAGAGGGCGGAAGAAGUAAGCGGAAUUAGCGGUGUAGCAGUGAAAUGCGUAGAUAUCGCUAGGAACACCAAUGGCGAAGGCAGCUUACUAGAACGUUCCUGACACUGAGACACGAAAGCGUGGGGA
RNAcentral lists this ribosomal RNA (245 nucleotides) under uncultured bacterium. Its description in RNAcentral is "partial 16S ribosomal RNA". It matches the Rfam family "Bacterial small subunit ribosomal RNA", at positions 524 to 767 of the family's 1533-position model. The record is from RNAcentral.